This 348-nucleotide unclassified non-coding RNA is filed under the name soil metagenome. RNAcentral's name for it is "partial contains 5.8S ribosomal RNA, internal transcribed spacer 2, and large subunit ribosomal RNA". The stretch from base 1 to 120 matches the Rfam family "5.8S ribosomal RNA", at positions 35 to 154 of the family's 154-position model. The record is from RNAcentral.
GAUGAAGAACGUAGCGAAAUGCGAUAAGUAAUGUGAAUUGCAGAAUUCCGUGAAUCAUCGAAUCUUUGAACGCACAUUGCGCCCGCCAGUAUUCUGGCGGGCAUGCCUGUCUGAGCGUCAUUUCAACCCUCAUGCCCCUAGGGCGUGGUGUUGGGGAUCGGCCAAAGCCCGCGAGGGACGGCCGGCCCCUAAAUCUAGUGGCGGACCCGUCGUGGCCUCCUCUGCGAAGUAGUGAUAUUCCGCAUCGGAGAGCGACGAGCCCCUGCCGUUAAACCCCCAACUUUCCAAGGUUGACCUCAGAUCAGGUAGGAAUACCCGCUGAACUUAAGCAUAUCAAUAAGCGGAGGA